AGGUUCCCAGGCCAGGGGUCCAGUCGGAGCUGUUGCUGCCAGCCUACACCAGAGCCACAGCAACACCAUCUUGUUCUUUUUUCUAUCAACAUUUGCAUUACUGAAAAUUAGCGCUCUCAUGUAUUCACAUUUAUAAAGCCCUUUGUAAGGUUUGUAAAGAAAAUCCUCUCUCUUUCCAUAACCCUCCCCCUAUAGGAAGUCACAUUCUCCCUGAAAGUUAUAUUCUGCCUGGUCCUUUGGGAGUUCCAAAUAGCCAUAAUAGCCAUCACGGUGAGCUCACACUGAAUUAUUUUUUCUGCCUCCAUUCCAUGCUAGACAGGAACUGAGUGAUUUUAUAGUUAAGGUGAAUGAAUAAAGUAAUUAAACAUUUUCAAAGUUUAUUUUCAUACCCCUUCUAUCAGGAGAAAUUCCAGGGAGAUAGUUUGGCUCUGUGGUAAGAGUGUGGGGAAAAGAGUGAGGCAUUCGAACAUUCCAAACACUGGAAGCAUCAAUAUAAAGUGGGCUGAAGUAAUAAUGAAGAGAUGGGACUGCGUUGCUCUCAGCUUUUUUGACCAAGAGUCUUGUCUUGAUGCCUCUUUUAAACUUAUGUCACAGAGAUCCUUCUCAAGGGGCUCUAGAGCCUCAUGCUAUGGAAUAUGAAACAGUCUCAAACCCUCUGCUUGUUUGGCACAUUGAGGUCCAUGAUGUGACAUCUAGAGGAGAUGUAUCUCUCUCAGUGCUCUCUGCUUAAGCUAACCUGGACCUGCUCUUACUGUCCCUCCCCUUGCAGGUGGGGAGCCUUCUUAAAUACCUGACCUCUGCCAGUGUCCAUGAUGUCAGACCCAGCUUUCGAUGUGUCUCAAACAACUGCCCUGCCCCAGGCCACAUAGAGUUCUUUGGGCUUCAAAUGUGUGGAAAUAGUUUAGUUCCAUCUAGAUGAAUCUCAGACCCCUAUUUUUGUUUUUCAAAACACUCUCCAUUCUGGUCUACUCUGAUGUUUGCAAAGUGACAUAGACAAGGAGCACUUUUUUAUUUUUUUUAAAUUGAAGUAUAGUUCAUUUACAGUAUUAUGUUAGUUUUAGGUAUACAACAUAGUUAUUCAACAUUUAUGUAGAUUAUACUCCAUUUGAAAUUGUUAUAUGUUGGCUGUAUUUCCUGUGAAGCACAUUAUAUCCCUAUAUCUAAUUUAUAUUAUUCCACAAAUAAGUGAAAACAUACACCACUUUCUUUGUAUGACUUGCUUCACUAAGCAUGAAAUCCUCCAGAUCCAUCAUGUUGUUGCAAAUGGGAAAAUAUCAUUUUUUAUGGUUGAGUAAUAUUCCAUUUUAUAUCUGUCUGUCUAUCUAUCUAUCUAUCUAUGUCACUUCUACUUUAUUAAUUCAACCAUUGAUGGACACUUAGGUUGCUUCCAAAUCUUGACAAUUGUAAAUAAUGCUGCUAUGAACAUUGGGGUGAACAUUUUUGAAUUAAUGUUUUCAUUUUAUUCAGAUAAUGGAAAUUCUAUUUUUAGCUUUUUGAGGAACCUCCAUACUAUUUUCUACAGUGGCUGCAACAAUUUACAUUCCCACCAACAUUAUACAAGUGUUCCCUUUUCUCUAUAUCCUAGCCAACAUUUGUUAUUUGUGGCUUUUUGAUGAUAGCCACUCUGGCAGAUAUGAGGUAAUAUCUCACUGUGCUUUCAAUUCUAUAUUCUCUGAUGACUAGUAUGUUGAAAAUACUUUCAUGUGCCUGAUAGCCAUCUGUAUGUCUUCCUGGGAAAAUGUUUACUCAGGGAUUCUGCCCAUUUUUUGAAUUGUUUUGUUUGUAUCUUUGAUAUAGGGUUAGAUGGGCAAUUUGUAUGUUUCAGAUAUUAACCCCUUAUUGGACAUAUCAUUUGCAAGUACUAUCUCCCAUUCAGUAGGCUGGUUGUCUUUUCAUUUUGUUGACAGUAUCCUUCUCUAUACAAAAGAUUUUAAGUUUAAUUAGACUUAAUUUGUUUGUUUUUGCUUUUGUUUUCCUUGCCUGAGAAGACAGAGCCUAAAAACUAUGGCUAAGACUUAUGCCAUAGAGUGUAUUGCCUAUGUUUUCUUCUAGGAGUUUUAUGGUUUCUGGUCUUACAUUUUCAGGUCCUUAAUCUAUUUUGAGUUAAUAUUUGUAUAUAAUGUGAAAAAAUGCUCCAAUUUCAUUGUUUUACAUGUAGCUGUCCAGUUUUCCCAACACCACUUGUUAAACAGUCUUUUCCUCAUUGUGUAUUUUUGCCUCUUUGUCAUAGAUUAAUUGACCAUAGAUGCAUGGAUUUAUUUCUGAGUUCUCUAUUCUGUUCCAUUAAUCUAUGUGUCUGUUUUUUUGUGCCAGUACUGUUUUGAUUACUAUAGCUUUGAGUAUAGCCUAAAGUCAGGGAGAAUGGUACCUCUACUUUGUUCAUUUUUUUCAAGAUUUCUUUGGCUGUUUGGGAAUCUUUUAUGGUUCCAUACGAAUUUUAGAAUUAUUUUUUAUACUUUUGUGGAAAAUGUCAUGAGCGUUUUCAUAGUAUCACACUAAAUUCUUAGAUUGCUUUGGAGAGUAUGGUCAUUUUAACAAUAUUAACUCUUCUAAUUUAUGAACAUAAGAUAACUUUCCAUUUCUUUGUAUCAUCUUCAAUGUCUUUCAUCAGCUUUUUCCACCUCCUUGGUUAACUUUAUUCUUUGGUAUUCUUUUUCUUUUUAGGGCCACAUCUGUGGCCUAUGGAAGUUCCUGGGCUAGAGGUUAAUUUGGAGCUCCAGUUGCUGACCUAUGCCAUAGCCACAGCAAUGCUGGAUCUGAACCACAUCUGUGACCUAUGUUGUAGUUUGUGGCAAUGCCAAAUCCUUAAUCCACUGAGAGAGGCAAAGGAUUGACCCCACAUCCUCAUAGACACUUUGUUCUUUUUUCAGCCCACUGAGCCACAACAGGAACUGUGGUAUUUUUUUCUUUUUAAUGUGGGAUUUUAAAUGGGAUUGUUUUCUUGCUUCCUUUUUCUGAUAGUUCAUUAUUAGUGUAUAUAAAAGCAAAAAGUUUAUUUUAUUUUAUAUAUAGAUACAUUCUUUUUUCUUGGGGGGUGCACCUACACCACAUGGAAAUUCCCAGGCUAGGGAUUGAAUUGGAGCUGCAGCUGCCAGCUUAAACAAUAGCAAUACCAGAUCUGAGCUAUGUCUGUGACCUAUGCCACAAUUCAUGGCAAUGCUGGAUCCUUAACCCAUUGAGUGAGGCCAGAGAUUGAACCUGCAUCCUCAUGGAUACUAGUUCGGUUCUUAACUUGCUAAGCUGCAGUGGGAACUCCAAAUACAUUCUUUUUUUAUAUUAUUUUCCAUCAUGGUCUAUCCCAGGAGAUUGGAUAUAGUUACCUGUGCUAUAGGACCUUGUUGUUUAUCCAUUCUAAAUGUAAUAGUUGAAAAGCAACAGAUUUGUCUGUAUUAAUCUUAUCUUCUGAAACUUUACUAAAUUCAUUUAUUAGCUCUAAUAGUAUUUUUUUUGGUCUUUUUUUAGGGCCACACCCAUGGCAUAUGGAGGCUCCCAGGCUAGGGGUCAAAUCAGAGCCUUAGCCACUGGCCUACACCACAGCCACAGCAACACCAGAUCAAAGCCGCAUCUGUGAUCUAAACCACAGUUCAUGACAGUGCAAGAUCCUUAACCCACUGAGCAAGUCCAGGGAUCAAACCUGAGUCCUCAUGGAUCCUAGUCAGAUUUGUUUCUGCUGAACCACAAUGGGAACUCCAGUAUUUUGAUACAGAUUUUAGAGUUUUCUAUAUAAAGUAUCAUGUCAUCUGCAAAUAGUAACAGUUAUAAUUCUACCUUUACAAUUUGUAUGUAUUUUAUUUCAUUUUCUUGUCUGAUUGCUACAUUAAAUAGAAAUGGUGGGAAUAGAAGUUCCUGCUGUGGUGCAGUGGGUUAAGAAUCCCAGGGCAGUGGGCCAGGUCACUAUGGAGGCAUGAGUUUGACCCCUGGCCUGGUGCAGUGGUUAAAGGAUCUGGUGUUAUCACAACUGCAGCAUGGGCCACAGCUGUGGCUCAGAUUCAAUCUUUGGCCUGGGAACUUCCAUAUGAUGUGGGUGUGGCCAUGAAAAAAAAUGGUGAGAGUAGGUGGAGAAGCUUUAGCUUUUCACUACUGAGUAUGAUGUUACCUGUGGGUUUGUCAUAAAUGGCCUUUUAUUAUGUGGAGAUAUGUUCCCUCUAUAACAGCUUUGUUGGGAGUUUUUAUCAUGAAUGGGUGUUGAAUUUUGU
This 4196-nucleotide long non-coding RNA is filed under the name Sus scrofa (pig). Its description in RNAcentral is "lncRNA (ENSSSCG00000052506.1)". Lineage: Eukaryota; Metazoa; Chordata; Mammalia; Artiodactyla; Suidae. The record is from RNAcentral.